This 72-nucleotide transfer RNA is filed under the name Stephanoberyx monae. Its description in RNAcentral is "tRNA-Thr". It matches the Rfam family "tRNA". From Rfam's summary of the family: Transfer RNA (tRNA) molecules are approximately 80 nucleotides in length. Their secondary structure includes four short double-helical elements and three loops (D, anti-codon, and T loops). The record is from RNAcentral. Lineage: Eukaryota; Metazoa; Chordata; Actinopteri; Beryciformes; Stephanoberycidae.
GCCCCAGUAGCUCAGAGCCAGAGCGCCGGUCUUGUAAACCGGAUGUCGAGGGUUAAACUCCCCCCUGGUGCU